RNAcentral lists this long non-coding RNA (1115 nucleotides) under Cricetulus griseus (Chinese hamster). RNAcentral describes it as "lncRNA (ENSCGRG00015039532.1)". Lineage: Eukaryota; Metazoa; Chordata; Mammalia; Rodentia; Cricetidae. The record is from RNAcentral.
AACUCAGCCAGGCAGUGGUGAUGCAUGCUUUUAAUACCAGCACUUGAGAAGCAGAGGAAGGCUGAACUCUGAGUUCCUGGCCAACGUGGUCUACAAAGAAGUUCUAGGACAGGCUACAGAGAGAAAAAUAUGAGAGCUCUUCCAGACAAUUAUUGGUAUUGUGUUCUGGUUUGCUUUUCUGUUGCCAUGAUAAAACAAUCACCAAAACCGACUAGGAGAAAAAAGGGUUUAUUUCAUCUUACAUUUUACAGUUCAUCAUCUAUGCAGGCAAAGGCAGUUUCUGGAAGGAGAAACUGAAGAGUUCAGCUGCUUACCGGCUUGCUUUCGUCUACAGCCCAGACCUACGGUGGGCUGGUCUCUCCUGCCCCAAUUAUAGACCACUGUGCUGGACUCAAAUCCUCAACUGAGAUUGUCCUUUUUUGCUAAAUAGUGACUCAAAUGGCCUAGGCUGGUCACAAACUCUCCUUGUACCGAUGGGUGACCUUGAACUCUUGAUCCAACUGCCUCCACCUGCCAAGUGGCAGAGAUAGCAGCCCGCUGUAUGCAGUUCUUCCCUAAUUGUAUGUGGCCUGGUGAUCUCCAGAGGUGCUGGAAUGCAUAGAAGAUGGAAGGCUGCAGCUAAGGGGAAGUUGGUGCUGGGGAGACACUUUCCAGUGGGACAGCUGCUUUUAGGUCACCUGUGACUGUAAGUAAGCCCAAUAAACACACCAGUUUCCUAAGUUGGACUUGGAAGGCACCAUACUUUGGUUUGUUACUGGUGUACUCUAAGGAGAAAGACGUUUUUUCAAAUCUGUCCAAAAUGAAGUUCACACAAGGAUCUUCAGCAUUAAGUAGCAUUCACUUUCCAAGUGGCCGCCAACUCUUGUUGCACUCUGGGACCAGAUGAGUACUAGUUUUGACAGCAAGAAUUGACCAGGGUGCUCUCACCCUUUGCCACACUUGUAAGCAUCCACCCAGAUGCCUGGUGCUUUUCUCUCAUAAUCUUUACCUUUUGAAUACAUCUGAAAGGUGACAUUUCAGGAGCUGCUUAUACACACAAGCUUUAAGGACAGGCUUACCCAUUGCAGCAAGAUUGGUACAAGGAAAAGAUAGGAAACUAAAGGUCAUUGAAAAAU